AGAAAUUGGUACUAAUUCCCCAUAACAUUCGAGAAGGCAUCUUCUUGGGUUAAAAACUCCGGUGGUUAAAGAUGGGCCAUGCGUUGUAUUAGCUAGUUGGUGACGGUAACGGCUCACCAAGGCAACGAUACAUAGGGGGACUGAGAGGUUAACCCCCCACAUUGGUACUGAGACACGGACCAAACUCCUACGGGAGGCAGCAGUGGGGAAUAUUGGUCAAUGGACGCAAGUCUGAACCAGCCAUGCCGCGUGCAGGAAGACAGCUCUAUGAGUUGUAAACUGCUUUUGUACUAGGGUAAACGCUCCUACGUGUAGGAGUCUGAAAGUAUAGUACGAAUAAGGAUCGGCUAACUCCGUGCCAGCAGCCGCGGUAAUACGGAGGAUCCAAGCGUUAUCCGGAUUUAUUGGGUUUAAAGGGUGCGUAGGCGGUUUGAUAAGUUAGAGGUGAAAUACCGGGGCUCAACUCCGGAACUGCCUCUAAUACUGUUGAACUAGAGAGUAGUUGCGGUAGGCGGAAUGUAUGGUGUAGCGGUGAAAUGCUUAGAGAUCAUACAGAACACCGAUUGCGAAGGCAGCUUACCAAACUAUAU
RNAcentral lists this ribosomal RNA (590 nucleotides) under uncultured Bacteroidales bacterium. Its description in RNAcentral is "bacterial SSU rRNA". It matches the Rfam family "Bacterial small subunit ribosomal RNA", at positions 152 to 739 of the family's 1533-position model. The record is from RNAcentral. Lineage: Bacteria; Pseudomonadati; Bacteroidota; Bacteroidia; Bacteroidales.